AGGAGUGUAGCUCAAUUGGUAGAGCACCGGUCUCCAAAACCGGGGGUUGUCGGUUCGAUCCCGGCCACUCCUGCCA
This 76-nucleotide transfer RNA is filed under the name Methylocystis sp. Its description in RNAcentral is "tRNA-Trp". It matches the Rfam family "tRNA". Rfam says of the family: Transfer RNA (tRNA) molecules are approximately 80 nucleotides in length. Their secondary structure includes four short double-helical elements and three loops (D, anti-codon, and T loops). Further hydrogen bonds mediate the characteristic L-shaped molecular structure. tRNAs have two regions of fundamental functional importance: the anti-codon, which is responsible for specific mRNA codon recognition, and the 3' end, to which the tRNAs corresponding amino acid is attached (by aminoacyl-tRNA synthetases). tRNAs cope with the degeneracy of the genetic code in two manners: having more than one tRNA (with a specific anti-codon) for a particular amino acid; and 'wobble' base-pairing, i.e. permitting non-standard base-pairing at the 3rd anti-codon position. RNAcentral also lists the same sequence under 1 other name. Lineage: Bacteria; Pseudomonadati; Pseudomonadota; Alphaproteobacteria; Hyphomicrobiales; Methylocystaceae. The record is from RNAcentral.